RNAcentral lists this transfer RNA (95 nucleotides) under Amycolatopsis sp. CA-230715. RNAcentral's name for it is "tRNA-Leu". The record is from RNAcentral. Lineage: Bacteria; Bacillati; Actinomycetota; Actinomycetes; Pseudonocardiales; Pseudonocardiaceae.
CCGAACCCGAGCUGCGGGAUGACGACGUCGUUGUUGAGAGCGACGGUGGGCACGGGCGGAGGAAUGGCCAUGGGGUUCCGGUCCUCGUUUCGGUC